Molecule: ribosomal RNA, 41 nt
Filed under: uncultured Craterellus
Lineage: Eukaryota; Fungi; Basidiomycota; Agaricomycetes; Cantharellales; Hydnaceae
Description: partial 18S ribosomal RNA
Source: RNAcentral
ACAUUUUAUGGCUUCGUAGGUGACCUGCGGAAGGAUCAUUC